Cyprinus carpio (common carp) is the source of this 1367-nucleotide long non-coding RNA. RefSeq lists it as uncharacterized. The transcript has 3 exons. Lineage: Eukaryota; Metazoa; Chordata; Actinopteri; Cypriniformes; Cyprinidae. The record is from RefSeq and is a predicted model, not a curated record.
AAUCCGCAACGCUUCCGGUUGCUGCAAAUGAUACUAUUCGGACGCGCCAGAUUUAAAUUAGGCCUACAAGAAGGUUUUCGCUGAAAAGCUAGUGAAAUUUCAUUGUUUCCUUACACAGUGGUAUCAUAUGACUAAUAUAGCGCACGGAGUCGUGUGGAUUACAUUUAUGACGGUUUAAUGGUACUUUUGGUCCUUUUGGAGUUUGUCAUCAUCACCUGUCCGCGUCCAUCUGCGUUGUGUGGAAAAAAUCAUCUGUAAACAUCUCCUUCUCAAAGACACCAGUGCAUUAGAGACCGGAGGGGGCUGGAUCUCUCUUACCUGUCAGGAAAAGGAAAUAGCACAAGGAGAAGUCAAUACUCUCAAUGCAUUAUAGAAGAGCGUUUCUUUUCUUAAUACAUCUGCGGGAAACCACACACGGCUCAAGCCCGUGAGCUUCCCCACAAGGAUGGAAAACCCUUCGGCUGUUAAUUACCCCAGUCAGCUGUCAAACAUAUGAUGGAAUUGCAGACAAAUCUCAGAUGCUUUGAUUAAGUUCACGCCUAGCCUCAUUCACGCUGGGAUUAUCAGGUUCCUCGCCAUAAACCCGCCUGAAAGAGAAGUCGAGAAAGAGAAAGCGAGAAAUAAAACAAGGGGGAAGACGAGCGAGGGAGAACAAGAGCGGAGAGCACAUCAUAUUUCCAACAGCUGCUAAAUAUGACCACAUUAAUUAUAGAUUUCUCAGCCUCACACAUUUUUCUCCUGGGGGUAUUUUUAGAAAAGAGUGAGAGAUGUAUUAUUUCUUUAAGCGAGCUGACAGGUGUCGGGGGAAUAUGGACAUGUUCAUAGAGUUGUCAGCCCGCCGUGCCGCGUCUGUUCGUCGGUUAGGUCGGACAAGUAUCUAAUUAAAUCAAUCUUAGUCUUUAUAAUCACAGGUUUUUCAUUUCAGCAGGCAUCAGUCAUCCAAGAUAAGUACACAGUCUACCUAGAGAAGGACGAGGUGACGAGGAAUGGCAAGAUAAGGAGAGAGAGAGAGAGAGAGAGAGAUAGGCCUGUCCCAAAUGCCACAUUCAAUCCUCGAUGUCCUCUACUGAUUCUACACUUUAGUGACAUAAUGCUGCAUGGACUUUUGGCCUAUGUAUGCAUGUAUUUAAAAAAAAAUAAAAAAAUUUACCACAUACAAAAUCCAUAAUGUAUCUUUAACUACACUGAUUUAAGUAUCACAGUAACAUGAUACUAACAUGAACCGACACAUUCAAAUCUUUUGUUCCUGAAUCAGACUAUACUAGUUGCACUGUAUGUUUUUAAUUUACCAAAAAGAUCUAACUCAUUAGAGAAAUUCAUUUGGGAAUUUGAUUAAAUCUGAAUGCAUUUGAUUCACUCAUUAAAUG